Molecule: long non-coding RNA, 2986 nt
Organism: Homo sapiens (human)
Lineage: Eukaryota; Metazoa; Chordata; Mammalia; Primates; Hominidae
Source: Ensembl
ACUGCAACCUCUGCCUCCCAGGUUCAAGCAAUUCUCCCGCCUCAGCCUCCCAAGUAGCUGGGAUUACAGGUGCGUGCCACCACACCUGGCUAAUUUUUGUAUUUUUAGUAGAGAUGGGGUUUUGCCAUGUUGGCCAGGCUGGUCUCAAACUCCUGACCUCAGGUGAUCCACCCACCUCGGCCUCCCAAAGUGUUGGGAUUAUAGGUGUGAGCUACUGUGCCCAGCCUGAAAAAUCCUAUUGCAGAUGAGAAGAUGUUGGUAGAAUUCACUCACUCCUGUGUCCCGUCCCAAAUUGAGCUCAGCAGUGUCAUAAACACACCUGAAAAACACUGUAAACAACCCAGAGAAGCCCCUGAAGGAGUGAACCCUUUCCUAAGUACAUUCUCAUCAAAUGAAAACGAGGACUCCGGAUUCAAAGUGAAGAUAACUUCUCCCAUGGUUUCUAUUCUCAGCCUUGCUCCGUCGGGGCUUCCUUGCUUUUGGAUUCUUGAGCAGGGGCUGCUAUCAGCAAACCCGGUGCCUUCAGCCUCUCCUAGGACCCUUCUCCUCACCUCCACUUUGGCCAAAAUCUGCCUGUUCCAGGCAGGUUGCAUUCCACCCAGCUUUCAGGCUGAGAUUGAGUAGGUGUUCUCCCUGGCUCCUGCAUCUGUUAGCUAUUGCUGGGUGCAAACCAUCCUAAAACUGGCUUAGAACCACUAGUGUGCAUGGGUCUGCAGGCCAACGGGGGGUUUCUUUUCUUUUUUUUUUUUUUGAGACAGAGUCUCGCUCUUGUUACCCAGUGUUACCCAGGCUGAAGUGCAAUGGCGCAAUCUCAGCUCACCGCAACCUCCGCCUCCCAGGUUCAAGUGAUUCUCCUGCCUCAGCCUCUGGAAUAGCUGGGAUUAUAGGCAUGUGCCACCAUGCCUGGCUAAUUUUGUAUUUUUAGCAGAGACGGGGUUUCUCCAUGUUGGUCAGCCUGGUCUCAAACUCCCGACCUCAGGUGAUCUGCCUGCCUCAGCCUCCCAAAGUGUUGGAAUUACAGGCGUGAGCCACCGCGUCCAGCCCAACUGGGGGUUUCUUCUGGUCCCAGCUGAGCUUACUCAUGAUUUUGCAGUCAGCUGUGUGUUUGAAGCUCUGCUGACCUUGACUUAUCUAUGUUUGGAGGUUGGCUGGCAAUGGACACACUGGGAAAACUGCACUUCCAUAUGUGGUUUCUCAUUCUCCAGCAGGCUAGCCCACGCCAGGAGAGAAGCAUGCAAGUCAUCUAGAGGUCCGGGCUUGAAUCUGGCACUUCUAUUGCAUUCAGUUGGCCAAAGUGAAUGGCAGGCCAUCCUAGAUUGAUGGGAAGGAAACUUCAUCUCUUGAUGGGACUGACUGCCAUGUCAUGUUGUGAAGGGCAGGGAAUCCACAUAGUUUACUGUCCAGUCCAGAACAUCACUCCACCUUUCUCCUGCCAGAGCUACGCUCUUCUUACUCCUGAGUCGGCAGAGGAUGUGCUAGAGGGCAACCUCAGACUCUGAUGGUGCAGUAAGAGUCAAGGAUGAACGACCAGACCCUAGCUCACUGGCCCCCCCUUUUUUUUUUUUGAGACAGGGUCUUGCUCUGUCAUCCAGGCUGGAGUACAGUGGUGCGAUCUCAGCUCACUGCAACCUCUGCCUCCCUGGUUCAAGUGAGUCUCAUGCCUCAGCCACCCAAGUAGUUGGGUUUAUAGUCAUGAGCCAGUACACCUGGCUAAUUUUUGUAUUUUUAGUAGAGAAGAGGUUUCACUAUGUUGGUCAGGUUGGUCUUAAACUCCUGGCCUCCAGUGAUCUGCCCACCUUGGCCUCCCAAAUUUCUGGGAUUAUGGGCAUGAGCCACAGCACCUGGCCGCCCCCUGGCCACUAUUAGGAGGUUGGCAUGACAGAUGAGCAGCCAAUAUCCACUCUUCCCUCCUGCCUGAGAAUGGGCCUAGGAGUACAGUCUGAACCUCUGAGCCACCCAAAUCACUGCCAUUCUGGGGGAAUCUACCAUCAAUCCUAACUUCAAAAGGGAAACUAGAAAUCAGGGAGGUGAAGGCAAUAGGGCUGGCAACUCACCUUCUUUCCACAAACAGGAAGGAUUGAGGCCACUUUAUGGAGAUGGUGACAGUAAUAUGUCUUCGAUACCUGUUGUGUGGUCUGCCAGGUACUCAUUCCCAUUUCCUUCUGAAAGUGUAACUCCAAUUUCUCUUGGAAAACUAUCCCUUGUAGCAUAUCCAUCCUUGUAGCAUAUCCAUCCAUCCAUCCAUUGUAGCAUAUCCAUCCUUGUAGCAUAUCCAUCCAUCCAUCCAUUGAUCCAUUGAUCCAUCCAUCCAUCCAUGCAUCUGUCCGUCCAACAAAACUUGGUUGUGUUCCAGUGAUGCCCCAGCUCCUGGGGAUACAGAAACGAACAAGAAAAAGUUCCUGCAUUCAAGAAGUCUACCCUCUGGAGGUAUAAAGCAUGUAAAUAAUCAGACACAAUGCAAAUCCAGAUGAUUAGUGUUAAUGAGGAGGUCAAGCAGAGUGAGAGGACAGAGACUGGGUAAGGUCUCUGGAGAAGUGACAUCCAGUGAGACCUGAAUGAUGGGAAGACCUGGGGGAAGAGCACCCCGAGUCUUUAAUCAUCUGUGCAAAGGCCUAAGACAAGAGAAUCUUCCUCAAGAAGCCACUUUCCGGGGCCUCUUGACUAGAGAAGUGUGUGGACAGAAACCCCAGGCAGAGCAUCUGGGGACACAAAUGAGGAAAUACUCAGAUUCUGCCAGCAAGGAGCCAGAAGAAGGAAGAGACCGGCUAGCAAAGGUGACUGCAUAAGAUCAGGUUAAAUACCAAGAAGCCAGAUUGCUGGGUCAUAUGUUGAACUUUAUAAGAAGCUGCCAAACUAUUUUCUGGAGUAACUGUACCAUUUUGCAUCCCCACCAGCAAUUUAUGAGACUUCUAGUCACUCCACAUCCUUUAUAACACUUGUUAUUAUCAGUAUUUAAAAUUUUAUCCAUUUAAAUAAAUGUGUAGUG